GAUCAAUCUAGAGGUGUCAAUACUUGGAUUAAGUGACUUGGAGCUAGAUUCAAUCCGUACCGCAGAUGUUGAACUUUAAAAAGGAGAGCACCCACCGUGAUGUGGUCUGCUCGUCCAUGACCAGAGAGAUGUAGCCCUCAAUCAGAGAGAAGGAGAAGAAACGGAUGUGUCCAGAGUCCUCGCUAGACGCCCCGGGCUCCUUCAUGC
This is a non-coding RNA of Salvelinus sp. IW2-2015, 207 nucleotides long. The record is from RefSeq and is a predicted model, not a curated record. NCBI's taxonomy places the organism in Eukaryota, Metazoa, Chordata, Actinopteri, Salmoniformes, Salmonidae.